GACGAACGCUGGCGGCGUGCUUAACACAUGCAAGUCGAACGGAAAGGCCCUGCUUUUGUGGGGUGCUCGAGUGGCGAACGGGUGAGUAACACGUGAGUAACCUGCCCUUGACUUUGGGAUAACUUCAGGAAACUGGGGCUAAUACCGGAUAGGAGCUCCUGCUGCAUGGUGGGGGUUGGAAAGUUUCGGCGGUUGGGGAUGGACUCGCGGCUUAUCAGCUUGUUGGUGGGGUAGUGGCUUACCAAGGCUUUGACGGGUAGCCGGCCUGAGAGGGUGACCGGCCACAUUGGGACUGAGAUACGGCCCAGACUCCUACGGGAGGCAGCAGUGGGGAAUAUUGCACAAUGGGCGGAAGCCUGAUGCAGCAACGCCGCGUGCGGGAUGACGGCCUUCGGGUUGUAAACCGCUUUCGCCUGUGACGAA
Molecule: ribosomal RNA, 423 nt
Filed under: Cutibacterium acnes
Lineage: Bacteria; Bacillati; Actinomycetota; Actinomycetes; Propionibacteriales; Propionibacteriaceae
Description: bacterial SSU rRNA
Rfam family: Bacterial small subunit ribosomal RNA
Source: RNAcentral